This 698-nucleotide long non-coding RNA is filed under the name Homo sapiens (human). RNAcentral's name for it is "RASSF8 antisense RNA 1". Lineage: Eukaryota; Metazoa; Chordata; Mammalia; Primates; Hominidae. The record is from RNAcentral.
GUAUCUGACUCAGGACCUGAUUUAAGGUUUGGGGUUUUUUGGCCCUUUGUUUCUUCCUCUUGUUUUUUGACCUUUAGUUACUCCACACCUCAUUAGUUCCUUGACCUGCAGGUGGACUGAGAAGAGAGCCAUGGUAGCAGGCAAGAGUGUGGUUAUCGUUGGACCAGGAUUCAGGAUCUGACUGAGUAGCUGACUCUUAAUCCAGUUUGUGUUGAUCACCAGGAGGAUCUGGACCUCAGUAUUACCACAUCUAGAGCUAUAAUCACAUCCCUGUUAAGCCUUCCUGAGAUCACACCAAAUGUCCUUGAUGGGAAUUGUAAACAACCCUUACUUCUGGUUUCUAAUGAUAUUCCAGGAAAGGAGCCUAACUAGAGUCAGUGAUAUGCCAACUCCACCUUUGCCUUCCACCAUGUUUGGAAGCUCCCUGAGGCCUCACCAGGAGCAGAUGCUCGUCCCAUGCUUCCUAUAAGCCUGCAGAACUGUGAGCCAUAAUAAACUGUGAAUUAUAAAUUGCCUUUAUAGCAAUGCAAAUGGACCAGUACAGAUGGGAUGCUGGGAAGACAGUUGUUUCCACCUUCAGUAAAGUCCGUGGAACACAGUUGUGACUAUAUUCUAGGCCAGCCAAGAUGCUUGUACUCAGAAAGGAGUGGUCUCAGGACCAUAAGAAAGUGAAAAAAUAAAAAUAAGAAAAUAAAGAA